This 253-nucleotide ribosomal RNA is filed under the name uncultured bacterium. Its description in RNAcentral is "partial 16S ribosomal RNA". It matches the Rfam family "Bacterial small subunit ribosomal RNA", at positions 524 to 776 of the family's 1533-position model. The record is from RNAcentral.
UACGAAGGGUGCGAGCGUUGUUCGGAAUCACUGGGCGCAAAGCGCGCGUAGGCGGCCAAUCAAGUCAGGGGUGAAAUGCCACAGCUCAACUGUGGAACUGCCUUUGAAACUGAUUGGCUGGAAGAUGAGAGGGGAUAGCGGAAUUUCUGGUGUAGAGGUGAAAUUCGUAGAUACCAGAAGGAACACCGGUGGCGAAGGCGGUUCUCUGGGCCUGUACUGACGCUGAGGAGCGAAAGCGUGGGGAGCGAACAGG